GAUGAAGAACGUAGCGAAAUGCGAUAAGUAAUGUGAAUUGCAGAAUUCAGUGAAUCAUCGAAUCUUUGAACGCACAUUGCGCCCCUUGGUAUUCCGAGGGGCAUGCCUGUUCGAGCGUCAUUACACCACUCAAGCACUGCUUGGUAUUGGGCACUCGUCCGUCGAAAGACGGGCGUGCCUCGAAGACCUCGGCGGGGUUUCUCCAACUUCGGGCGUAGUAGAGUUAAAUCAAAACGUCUUAUAAGCUUGGUGAAAUCUCAUUGCCGUUAAACCCUUUUUUUUUCAGGUUGACCUCGGAUCAGGUAGGGAUACCCGCUGAACUUAAGCAUAUCAAUAAGCGGAGGA
This 345-nucleotide unclassified non-coding RNA is filed under the name soil metagenome. RNAcentral describes it as "partial contains 5.8S ribosomal RNA, internal transcribed spacer 2, and large subunit ribosomal RNA". The stretch from base 1 to 120 matches the Rfam family "5.8S ribosomal RNA", at positions 35 to 154 of the family's 154-position model. The record is from RNAcentral.